Molecule: unclassified non-coding RNA, 229 nt
Filed under: plant metagenome
Description: partial contains small subunit ribosomal RNA, internal transcribed spacer 1, and 5.8S ribosomal RNA
Source: RNAcentral
UCUCCGUAGGUGAACCUGCGGAGGGAUCAUUACAGAGUUCAUGCCCUAACGGGUAGAUCUCCCACCCUAUGUUAUCAUCACUUUGUUGCUUUGGCGGGCCGUUAGGCCUCGGCUUGGCUACCGGCUCUCGCUGGUAAGCACCCGCCAGAGAACCCCAAACCCUGAAUAUCAGUGUCGUCUGAGUACUAUAUAAUAGUUAAAACUUUCAACAACGGAUCUCUUGGUUCUG